RNAcentral lists this ribosomal RNA (253 nucleotides) under uncultured bacterium. RNAcentral's name for it is "partial 16S ribosomal RNA". It matches the Rfam family "Bacterial small subunit ribosomal RNA", at positions 524 to 776 of the family's 1533-position model. The record is from RNAcentral.
UACAGAGGGGGCAAGCGUUAUUCGGAAUUAUUGGGCGUAAAGGGCGCGUAGGCGGCUUGACAAGUGGCGGGUGAAAUCCCUCGGCUUAACCGAGGAACUGCCUGCCAGACUGUCUUGCUUGAGACCGGGAGAGGUGAGUGGAAUUCCCAGUGUAGCGGUGAAAUGCGUAGAUAUUGGGAGGAACACCAGUGGCGAAGGCGGCUCACUGGACCGGAACUGACGCUGAGGCGCGAAAGUGUGGGGAGCGAACAGG